Molecule: non-coding RNA, 195 nt
Organism: Myotis davidii
Lineage: Eukaryota; Metazoa; Chordata; Mammalia; Chiroptera; Vespertilionidae
Source: Rfam
UCAAAAAGGUAGCAGACUCUCCCCGGGCUCUGUCCAGGUGGCGUAGGGGAGCAUAGGGCUCUGCCCCGUGAUGUACAGUCCCUUUCCACAAAAUUGGAGAGAAAGCCGGGCCUUGAGUUUGUGCCUGCAUAUUCCUACAACUUCUCAGAGUCCUGUGGAUGAUGACUGAGGAGACAAACCAUGCAGGAAACAUCU